RNAcentral lists this non-coding RNA (152 nucleotides) under human gut metagenome. The record is from RNAcentral.
GGAACUUAGAAGUUCUUGAUGUUCUGAGUAUAAUCAGCAAUGUUUGAACACGAUGUUCAAACAAGCCGCCACUGAGCCACGGAUGGCGAAUUGGCGGCGGUUGCGUACAAUUACAACUAUCUAUAUCAGAACAUCUAGUACUUCUUAGUUUC